GCUGGCUUCCUCUCCUUCAGGUCAGGUUCACCUUCCUUUUCCCGUCCCUCGGUCGGUGAGGAGGCUUGCUCAGCGAGCGAGGCGAGAACCCGACACGACAGCCCUGUGUCGUCUGUCGCAGCUGUCGCUUCGGCACACCCGACCCAGGAAGCCCUCUUCCCGUGGCAAUCCACUCCCUCCUUCCCUCCUCCCCAUCCUCUGGCGCCUUCCUAGAGUGACAUCCCUUGCUGAAAAAAUGACGCGGACCUCAGCCCACCGGCCUCGCCACUACCAUUGGACCCCAAGCCUCUCACCUGGCUCCGAGCGACCUUGAAGGGUGUGGCAUUCACCAUGUGCUGCUUCCGGAUGCCACUCCAUCUGGUCCGGUAGUCCACGAUGUGGCAGGGGGGGAGGACGUACUCAUCAUAAAGCACAUCUCCGUGGUAGUUGACGAUGCUACAUCG
This is a long non-coding RNA of Leopardus geoffroyi (Geoffroy's cat), 443 nucleotides long. RefSeq lists it as uncharacterized. The transcript is spliced from 2 exons. The record is from RefSeq and is a predicted model, not a curated record. NCBI's taxonomy places the organism in Eukaryota, Metazoa, Chordata, Mammalia, Carnivora, Felidae.